RNAcentral lists this ribosomal RNA (253 nucleotides) under uncultured bacterium. RNAcentral's name for it is "partial 16S ribosomal RNA". It matches the Rfam family "Bacterial small subunit ribosomal RNA", at positions 524 to 776 of the family's 1533-position model. The record is from RNAcentral.
UACGUAGGGAGCAAGCGUUGUCCGGAAUCAUUGGGCGUAAAGCGCGCGUAGGCGGCCUCAUAAGUCCGUUGUGAAAGUCAAAGGCUCAACCUUUGAAAGCCGAUGGAUACUGUGAGGCUAGAGUCCGGAAGAGGCGAGUGGAAUUCCUGGUGUAGCGGUGGAAUGCGAAGAUAUCAGGAGGAACACCAAUAGCGAAGGCAGCUCGCUGGGACGGUACUGACGCUAAGGCGCGAAAGCGUGGGGAGCGAACAGG